AUUGAACGCUGACGGCAGGCCUAACACAUGCAAGUCGAGCGAGCGGCGGACGGGUGAGUAAGGUAUAGAGAUCUUCCUGAUUGCGGGGGCUUACUACUGUAAACGGUAGCUAAUCCCGCAUACCAUCAGAUGACCCCAUAUGGGUUGAGCUUGUGGGGGAGGUAACGGCUCACCUAGGCGACGACCCCUAGCUGGUCUGAGAGGAUGAUCAGCCACACUGGGACUGGGACACGGCCCAGACUCCUACGGGAGGCAGCAGUGGGGAAUAUUGCACAAUGGGCGAAAGCUUGAUGCAGCCAUGCCGCGUGUAUGAAGAAGGCCUUCGGGUUGUAAAGUACUUUCAGUCGGGAGGCGUUACCGACAGAAGAAGCACCGGCUAACUCCGUGCCAGCAGCCGCGGUAAUUC
This 406-nucleotide ribosomal RNA is filed under the name uncultured bacterium. RNAcentral describes it as "partial 16S ribosomal RNA". It matches the Rfam family "Bacterial small subunit ribosomal RNA", at positions 30 to 526 of the family's 1533-position model. The record is from RNAcentral.